RNAcentral lists this ribosomal RNA (373 nucleotides) under uncultured organism. Its description in RNAcentral is "bacterial SSU rRNA". It matches the Rfam family "Bacterial small subunit ribosomal RNA", at positions 526 to 896 of the family's 1533-position model. The record is from RNAcentral.
CGGGGGGAGCAAGCGUUGUUCGGAUUUACUGGGCGUAAAGGGCGUGUAGGCGGCCACCGCAAGUCAGUUGUGAAAGCUCUGGGCUUAACCCAGAAAGGUCAACUGAUACUGCGGGGCUAGAGUGCAGAAGGGGCAACUGGAAUUCUCGGUGUAGCGGUGAAAUGCGUAGAUAUCGAGAGGAACACCUGCGGCGAAGGCGGGUUGCUGGGCUGACACUGACGCUGAAACGCGAAAGCUAGGGGAGCGAACGGGAUUAGAUACCCCGGUAGUCCUAGCCUUAAACGAUGAAUGCUUGGUGUCUGGGGUUUAUAGUCCCCGGGUGCCGUCGCUAACGCUUUAAGCAUUCCGCCUGGGGAGUACGGUCGCAAGACUG